Molecule: transfer-messenger RNA, 344 nt
Filed under: Chloroflexi bacterium RIFCSPLOWO2_12_FULL_71_12
Lineage: Bacteria; Bacillati; Chloroflexota
Rfam family: transfer-messenger RNA
About the family: Bacterial tmRNA, also known as 10Sa RNA or SsrA, is named for its dual tRNA and mRNA-like properties.
Source: RNAcentral
GGAUGCGUGGUUUCGACAGGGCAGGAGAGCGAUCAGCUGCGAGCCGGGGUUGCCGUUCACUCCGUGAACCGAGCGGCAGGCAGAUAACUGCCACAAACUCUUACGCCCUCGCUGCCUAAGCAGUGAGCGUCCCGCCGGACCAGCCUCCGCGGACCGGUGAGGACGAGAAAGCGGAGGUGCGGCCCGCCGACGAUCGGUGAGCGGGCCAAAGACAGCCGAUCUGGCGGGACCGUGGGCGUGUCGGUGCGCGUUCGGGGCCGCGAGAUAUUCAAGUUCGCCGAACAGGCUUCGUAGACGCGGAUCGUUCGAUCGCUUUGGACGGGGAGUUCGACCCUCCCCCAUCU